This 252-nucleotide ribosomal RNA is filed under the name uncultured bacterium. RNAcentral's name for it is "partial small subunit ribosomal RNA". It matches the Rfam family "Bacterial small subunit ribosomal RNA", at positions 26 to 285 of the family's 1533-position model. The record is from RNAcentral.
AGAACGAACGCUGGCGGCGUGGAUAAGACAUGCAAGUCGAACGCUGACAUUUAGGUAGCAAUAUUUGAAUGUCGGAGUGGCGCAAGGGUGCGUAACACGUGGGUAAUUUGCCGUGAAGUUUGGGAUAACUUGCUGAAAGGCGAGCUAAUACCGCAUAAUACCCACGGGUCAAAGCAGCAAUGCGCUUGAAGAGGAGUUCGCGGCAGAUUAGUUAGUCGGCGGGGUAAUGGCCCACCAAGACGAUGAUCUGUA